GAUGAAGAACUCAGCGAAAUGCGAUAAGUAAUGUGAAUUGCAGAAUUCAGUGAAUCAUCGAAUCUUUGAACGCACAUUGCGCCCGCCAGUAUUCUGGCGGGCAUGCCUGUUCGAGCGUCAUUACAACCCUCAGGCCCCCGGGCCUGGCGUUGGGGAUCGGCGGAAGCCCCCUGCGGGCACAACGCCGUCCCCCAAAUACAGUGGCGGUCCCGCCGCAGCUUCCAUUGCGUAGUAGCUAACACCUCGCAACUGGAGAGCGGCGCGGCCACGCCGUAAAACACCCAACUUCUGAAUGUUGACCUCGAAUCAGGUAGGAAUACCCGCUGAACUUAAGCAUAUCAUAAGCGGAGGA
RNAcentral lists this unclassified non-coding RNA (352 nucleotides) under soil metagenome. RNAcentral describes it as "partial contains 5.8S ribosomal RNA, internal transcribed spacer 2, and large subunit ribosomal RNA". The stretch from base 1 to 120 matches the Rfam family "5.8S ribosomal RNA", at positions 35 to 154 of the family's 154-position model. The record is from RNAcentral.